GUUGGGUGAAGUGGCAUGUAUCUGUAGUCCCAACUACUUGGUUACUGAGGUGGGAGGAUCACUUGAACUCAGGAGCUUUGGGCCAGUCUGAGUAACACCGCGAGACUCUGUCUCUA
This 116-nucleotide small RNA is filed under the name Marmota monax (woodchuck). Lineage: Eukaryota; Metazoa; Chordata; Mammalia; Rodentia; Sciuridae. The record is from RNAcentral.